Molecule: ribosomal RNA, 462 nt
Filed under: uncultured bacterium
Lineage: Bacteria
Description: partial 16S ribosomal RNA
Rfam family: Bacterial small subunit ribosomal RNA
Source: RNAcentral
GACGAACGCUGGCGGCGUGCUUAACACAUGCAAGUCGAACGGAAAGGCCCUUCGGGGUACUCGAGUGGCGAACGGGUGAGUAACACGUGGGUGAUCUUCCCUGCACUUUGGGAUAAGCCUGGGAAACUGGGUCUAAUACCGAAUAGGACCACGCGCUUCAUGGUGUUUGGUGGAAAGCUUUGGCGGUGGGGGAUGGGCCCGCGGCCUAUCAGCUUGUUGGUGGGGUAAUGGCCUACCAAGGCGACGACGGGUAGCCGGCCUGAGAGGGUGACCGGCCACACUGGGACUGAGAUACGGCCCAGACUCCUACGGGAGGCAGCAGUGGGGAAUAUUGCACAAUGGGCGCAAGCCUGAUGCAGCGACGCCGCGUGAGGGAUGACGGCCUUCGGGUUGUAAACCUCUUUCAAUAGGGACGAAGCGCAAGUGACGGUACCUAUAGAAGAAGCACCGGCCAACUACGUG